This is a small nuclear RNA of Mustela putorius furo (domestic ferret), 121 nucleotides long. Lineage: Eukaryota; Metazoa; Chordata; Mammalia; Carnivora; Mustelidae. The record is from Ensembl.
GUGUUACGGAGAGAAGAUUAACAUUCCCCUUGGAAGGAGUGAAAGAGGCUCUCAGGCCUGACAACAUGCAUAUGGUUAAGGCCUCAUGCAUCUACUUCAUGGCAUCUAAGCACCAUUUUUU